GGAAGGAUGACCGAGUGGUUAAGGUGUGUGACUCAAGCGUUUGCUGCUUUCUUGCUUCUAAAAAAGCGAGGUUUCUCAUGGGCCUAGCCCGCGGGGGUUCGAAUCCCCCUCCUUUCA
This is a non-coding RNA of Morchella snyderi, 117 nucleotides long. The record is from the annotation of a GenBank genome assembly. Lineage: Eukaryota; Fungi; Ascomycota; Pezizomycetes; Pezizales; Morchellaceae.